RNAcentral lists this ribosomal RNA (1446 nucleotides) under uncultured bacterium. RNAcentral's name for it is "bacterial SSU rRNA". It matches the Rfam family "Bacterial small subunit ribosomal RNA". The record is from RNAcentral.
AGAGUUUGAUCAUGGCUCAGGAUGAACGCUGGCGGCGUGCUUAACACAUGCAAGUCGAACGAACCUUCGGGUUAGUGGCGGACGGGUGAGUAACGCGUGGGAACCUGCCCUCAGGAGGGGGAUAACGGCUGGAAACGGCCGCUAAUACCCCAUAUGCCGAGAGGUGAAAAGAAAUUCGCCUGAGGAUGGGCCCGCGUCUGAUUAGCUAGUUGGUGGGGUAAGAGCCUACCAAGGCGACGAUCAGUAGCUGGUCUGAGAGGAUGAUCAGCCACACUGGGACUGAGACACGGCCCAGACUCCUACGGGAGGCAGCAGUGGGGAAUUUUCCGCAAUGGGCGAAAGCCUGACGGAGCAACGCCGCGUGAGGGAUGAAGGCCUCUGGGCUGUAAACCUCUUUUCUCAAGGAAGAAGAACUGACGGUACUUGAGGAAUAAGCCACGGCUAAUUCCGUGCCAGCAGCCGCGGUAAUACGGGAGUGGCAAGCGUUAUCCGGAAUUAUUGGGCGUAAAGCGUCCGCAGGCGGCCUUGUAAGUCUGUCGUUAAAGCGUGGAGCUUAACUCCAUUUGAGCGAUGGAAACUACAAGGCUUGAGUGUGGUAGGGGCAGAGGGAAUUCCCGGUGUAGCGGUGAAAUGCGUAGAUAUCGGGAAGAACACCAGUGGCGAAGGCGCUCUGCUGGGCCAUAACUGACGCUCAUGGACGAAAGCCAGGGGAGCGAAAGGGAUUAGAUACCCCUGUAGUCCUGGCCGUAAACGAUGAACACUAGGUGUCGGGGGAAUCGACCCCCUCGGUGUCGUAGCCAACGCGUUAAGUGUUCCGCCUGGGGAGUACGCACGCAAGUGUGAAACUCAAAGGAAUUGACGGGGGCCCGCACAAGCGGUGGAGUAUGUGGUUUAAUUCGAUGCAACGCGAAGAACCUUACCAGGGUUUGACAUCCUGCGAACCUCUGAGAAAUCGGGGGGUGCCUUCGGGAACGCAGAGACAGGUGGUGCAUGGCUGUCGUCAGCUCGUGUCGUGAGAUGUUGGGUUAAGUCCCGCAACGAGCGCAACCCACGUCUUUAGUUGCCAGCAUUCAGUUGGGCACUCUAGAGAGACCGCCGGUGAUAAACCGGAGGAAGGUGUGGAUGACGUCAAGUCAUCAUGCCCCUUACAUCCUGGGCUACACACGUACUACAAUGCUACGGACAAAGGGCAGCAAGCUCGCGAGAGUAAGCAAAUCCCAUAAACCGUGGCUCAGUUCAGAUCGUAGGCUGCAACUCGCCUACGUGAAGGAGGAAUCGCUAGUAAUCGCAGGUCAGCAUACUGCGGUGAAUACGUUCCCGGGCCUUGUACACACCGCCCGUCACACCAUGGAAGUUGGCCACGCCCGAAGUCGUUACUCCAACCCUUGUGGAGGAGGACGCCGAAGGUGGGGCUGAUGACUGGGGUGAAGUCGUAACAAGGUAACC